Molecule: ribosomal RNA, 462 nt
Filed under: uncultured bacterium
Lineage: Bacteria
Description: bacterial SSU rRNA
Rfam family: Bacterial small subunit ribosomal RNA
Source: RNAcentral
UCCUACGGGAGGCAGCAGUUGGGAAUUUUGGGCAAUGGACGAAAGUCUGACCCAGCAACGCCGCGUGAGGGAUGAAGGUCUUCGGAUUGUAAACCUCUGUUGAGUGGAAAAAAAAGCUACAGGGCUAAUCUCCUGGAGCCUGAUGGUACCAUUCGAGGAAGCACCGGCUAACUACGUGCCAGCAGCCGCGGUAAUACGUAGGGUGCAAGCGUUGUUCGGAAUUACUGGGCGUAAAGGGAGCGUAGGUGGGUUUGUAAGUUAGGAGUUUAAUUCAUGGGCUUAACCCGUGGCAGGCUCUUAAUACUGCAAGUCUUGAGUAUUGGAGAGGGCGAUGGAAUUCCAGGUGUAGCGGUGGAAUGCGUAGAUAUCUGGAAGAACACCAGUAGCGAAGGCGGUCGCCUGGCCAAAUACUGACACUGAGGCUCGAAAGCUAGGGGAGCAAACAGGAUUAGAUACCCUGGU